GUGGAUUAGAUACCCGGGUAGUCCACGCCGUAAACGAUGUCUACUAGCCGUUGGGAUCCUUGAGAUCUUAGUGGCGCAGCUAACGCACUAAGUAGACCGCCUGGGGAGUACGGUCGCAAGAUUAAAACUCAAAUGAAUUGACGGGGGCCCGCACAAGCGGUGGAGCAUGUGGUUUAAUUCGAAGCAACGCGAAGAACCUUACCAGGUCUUGACAUCCAGAGAACUUUCCAGAGAUGGAUUGGUGCCUUCGGGAACUCUGAGACAGGUGCUGCACGGCCGUCGACAGCU
RNAcentral lists this ribosomal RNA (288 nucleotides) under uncultured bacterium. RNAcentral's name for it is "partial 16S ribosomal RNA". It matches the Rfam family "Bacterial small subunit ribosomal RNA", at positions 773 to 1060 of the family's 1533-position model. The record is from RNAcentral.